Molecule: ribosomal RNA, 1386 nt
Filed under: Salmonella enterica subsp. enterica serovar Kentucky
Lineage: Bacteria; Pseudomonadati; Pseudomonadota; Gammaproteobacteria; Enterobacterales; Enterobacteriaceae
Description: partial 23S ribosomal RNA
Rfam family: Bacterial large subunit ribosomal RNA
Source: RNAcentral
GGGUUGUGAGGUUAAGCGACUAAGCGUACACGGUGGAUGCCCUGGCAGUCAGAGGCGAUGAAGGACGUGCUAAUCUGCGAUAAGCGUCGGUAAGGUGAUAUGAACCGUUAUAACCGGCGAUUUCCGAAUGGGGAAACCCAGUGUGAUUCGUCACACUAUCGUUAACUGAAUACAUAGGUUAACGAAGCGAACCGGGGGAACUGAAACAUCUAAGUACCCCGAGGAAAAGAAAUCAACCGAGAUUCCCCCAGUAGCGGCGAGCGAACGGGGAGGAGCCCAGAGCCUGAAUCAGCAUGUGUGUUAGUGGAAGCGUCUGGAAAGGCGCGCGAUACAGGGUGACAGCCCCGUACACAAAAGCGCAUGUGCUGUGAGCUCGAUGAGUAGGGCGGGACACGUGGUAUCCUGUCUGAAUAUGGGGGGACCAUCCUCCAAGGCUAAAUACUCCUGACUGACCGAUAGUGAACCAGUACCGUGAGGGAAAGGCGAAAAGAACCCCGGCGAGGGGAGUGAAAAAGAACCUGAAACCGUGUACGUACAAGCAGUGGGAGCCCCACCACCAAAGCAUUCUCUGGUGUUGAAGGCCCUGCAAAGCAGCAUCGCGGUGGCGGAGCGUCGUUUGCGACGCCCAACACACAAAACAAGCGGUGAGUGCUUUGGGGUGGGGUGACUGCGUACCUUUUGUAUAAUGGGUCAGCGACUUAUAUUCUGUAGCAAGGUUAACCGUAUAGGGGAGCCGAAGGGAAACCGAGUCUUAACUGGGCGUUAAGUUGCAGGGUAUAGACCCGAAACCCGGUGAUCUAGCCAUGGGCAGGUUGAAGGUUGGGUAACACUAACUGGAGGACCGAACCGACUAAUGUUGAAAAAUUAGCGGAUGACUUGUGGCUGGGGGUGAAAGGCCAAUCAAACCGGGAGAUAGCUGGUUCUCCCCGAAAGCUAUUUAGGUAGCGCCUCGUGAACUCAUCUUCGGGGGUAGAGCACUGUUUCGGCUAGGGGGUCAUCCCGACUUACCAACCCGAUGCAAACUGCGAAUACCGAAGAAUGUUAUCACGGGAGACACACGGCGGGUGCUAACGUCCGUCGUGAAGAGGGAAACAACCCAGACCGCCAGCUAAGGUCCCAAAGUCACAGUUAAGUGGGAAACGAUGUGGGAAGGCUCAGACAGCCAGGAUGUUGGCUUAGAAGCAGCCAUCAUUUAAAGAAAGCGUAAUAGCUCACUGGUCGAGUCGGCCUGCGCGGAAGAUGUAACGGGGCUAAACUGUGCACCGAAGCUGUGGCAGCGACGCUUAUGCGUUGUUGGGUAGGGGAGCGUUCUGUAAGCCUGCGAAGGUGUCCUGUGAGGGAUGCUGGAGGUAUCAGAAGUGCGAAUGCUGACAUAAGUAACGAUAA